CCCACACCACAUAUUGAGAAAACUAGAAGAGAAUGAACUUGGCCAGAGGAGAAUGAAAUGGCUUGAUAUAGAUGAAGAUGCAGCUGCCAUAAGUGAUGGAAACCACAGUAAUAUGUGAAGAACAGGGAUUCUGUGCUGCGGAGAUCAUUACGGAAGCAACAGUAGCAGGUGGCCUGGCCAUACAGGGAUUCCUUACUCGCAGCAGAGAAUGUUGCUGCCACUCAAAGUCACCAGGGGCUGAAGAGCUCCUGUGGAGACCCACAUCAUCUAACAACACACAUACUCAAAACAGGGAAAUGUGCAUUUUCGGGAGAGGAAGAGACAAACCUUUUGUUUAGCUAACUGGCAUGACAGAGUGUGACAUACAUGUGCUCCUGGAAGAACGGUGUUGGGUGUCUGCACUCAAAAUCUUGAGCAUAGGCAACUGGAUGAAGGGCUCUGUGGCAUUGAUUUUCAUUGUGUGUGUGUUAAUAUUUACAUUUAUAAUUAAAUAAAUA
Homo sapiens (human) is the source of this 497-nucleotide long non-coding RNA. Lineage: Eukaryota; Metazoa; Chordata; Mammalia; Primates; Hominidae. The record is from Ensembl.